UACGAAGGGGGCUAGCGUUGUUCAGAAUUACUGGGCGUAAAGGGCGCGUAGGCGGUCUUUCAAGUCAGAUGUGAAAGCCCUGGGCUUAACCUAGGAGGUGCAUUUGAUACUGAUCGACUUGAGAUCGAGAGAGGAGAGUGGAAUUGCGAGUGUAGAGGUGAAAUUCGUAGAUAUUCGCAAGAACACCAGUGGCGAAGGCGACUCUCUGGCUCGAUACUGACGCUAAGGCGCGAAAGCGUGGGGAGCAAACAGG
This 253-nucleotide ribosomal RNA is filed under the name uncultured bacterium. RNAcentral's name for it is "partial 16S ribosomal RNA". It matches the Rfam family "Bacterial small subunit ribosomal RNA", at positions 524 to 776 of the family's 1533-position model. The record is from RNAcentral.